ACCUCCACACAUGGGAACAAAAGGCUCACCCCUCCCUUACCGGUGACAAGUGUCCGAAGUUGGUGACACUUGUCACCGCCAUUCACCAGCCCAAACACGGACGUUUAAAAGACAUCUUGGAAUAAAAAUUAGCAUUUCGACAAAGCCUUUCUCUCUCUUCAAUCCCCAACAGUCAAGCGCUCUACAACCCUAAAUAUCUCCGCGACCGCAACCUACCGGAGAAGACGGUGGUUGUCGGCCGCGAACCCACACCCAAACCACCAAAGCCUAAACACUAACCCCCUCUCAUUUUUUCUCCUACAUCCGAAUCUAAAAACCUUUUCCUCCAAAUACUCCACAUAUGACCAGAUCGACUUCCCCAACUUCAAAACUUGAAUUCUCCCUCUAAAACCUAAGCCAAAUUCCCUCUUGCCUACGAACCUGGAACUAUCAUAAUAGAAAAAUCCAUAAACCACAAAUCCAAAAGAAAACCCUAAAUAAAAAUUAAACCACCAACGUUAACGAUUUCAAAAAAAAACAAGGGGGUUCUGCUCAACUCAACAUGGCGAAGACAAUGGUGACUGGAAAUUAAAGAGAUAAUGAAGACUCACUAGAUUGGAACGAGUCCGACAAUCUUUCCGGCAAGGUCUUGCUGAGAGAAAAUGAAGGACAUGGAAAAUGAAGGACAUGGUAGGAAUGUGGAAAGCAUAGGCGCGUGGGGACCGUUCAAAGACGUUGAACCCUCUUUCAUUUUUGUAUUUUUUCUUUGUAUUAGACCUCAUGGAACAAUACUUUGUAUUAGUAAAAUAUUUUAUCUAUGUAGUGGCGAACUUCUAUCUAACAAAGUACUUAUUUUAAUUGCAAGUUAA
This is a long non-coding RNA of Lathyrus oleraceus (garden pea), 848 nucleotides long. RefSeq lists it as uncharacterized. The transcript has 2 exons. The record is from RefSeq and is a predicted model, not a curated record. Lineage: Eukaryota; Viridiplantae; Streptophyta; Magnoliopsida; Fabales; Fabaceae.